UAGUCGUGUAUUUUAUGAUUUUUUAAACUCAAUUAUUACUUUUUUAUUUAAUGGAGACUAAAAGAAAUUUACGAAAAAGUAUUUAUUUAAUUGGUUAAAUUAUUUACUUAUUGGCGUUGAUGUAACUUACCAAAAAAAAGAAUUUAAGCAAUUUAAAAAAUUAAAAGAAUUUGAGAAAAAAUGAAAGCUUAAUGAUGAUGAAUUCAAAUUAACUACUAAAACUGUGGAAUUCUGUUCUACAAGCGACGACACAGAAGAAAGUUUGCCUGAUGAUUUUGUAAACAAUGAUGACUUCAGUAAUUUGUUUGAUGGCAAUGUAAAAAAAACUCAAGAUCAAAUAUUAAAUUUAGAAGAUAUUAAUUUUUCACCGGGUCCGUCUAAUAAAACUAAUGUUUUGCCAGUAUCAAGCUCCAUAUAACAAAGAGGUACAAUAGACAUGAUGACUGUAAAGUUAUCUUCAGCAUUAGAUAGGUGCAAAAUAAGCGACCGAGACGCAGUGCACAUUAUAAUUGCAGUGACUGAAUCAUUAGGGCAUGAUGUCAAUGAUAUCAUAGUUAAUAGUUCAUCAAUUAAACGACAUUGUGAAAAAAUACGUUGGAAUUUAGCUACAGAAAUUCGCGACAAAUUUUCUGUGACUAACCUCAAUGCCUUAGUUUUACAUUGGGACGGCAAAUUAUUACCUAAUUUAUGUAGUAAACAAACAGUUGAUUGACUACCUAUAAUUACUUCAAAUAAUGGAAAUGACCAACUAUUAGCAGUACCAAAGAUGUUAAACGGAACUUCUAAAUCACAGGCUGAGGCUAUAUAUCAAACGUUGGUCGAUUGGGGUUUAACAAACCACGUAAGAUAUACAUGGUUACUGGUAAUCGAUUUGAAAUCUAUUUUCAUAUUUAUUGUUAACCGCUUAUCACUUAAUAAUCGGUUUUAAUUUUUAAAGGUAACCGUUAAUCGUUUAAAACCGAUUUUUAACCGUUUAAAUACUUUUUUUUAAUGAUGGAAUACGAUAAGCUUGGGUGUUUUUACAGAAAGAACGAUUAGGCUGUGUCGUAGCCAGUGUGCCAAGAGGAACGGGUUCCUUACAUUGACGUCAAUAUUUAUUCCUAAAAUUAAGUGAUGAGCAAAAUACUAAUAAUAAAAAAUAUACAUAGAAUUGAAAUUUCAAAUAGUAUUAAAAAAAGUAUUCAAAUUUUACUGUAUUGAAGAUAAUAAGGAAUAAAAACAUUUAACAAAACU
Molecule: long non-coding RNA, 1233 nt
Organism: Daktulosphaira vitifoliae (grape phylloxera)
Lineage: Eukaryota; Metazoa; Arthropoda; Insecta; Hemiptera; Phylloxeridae
Exons: 3
Source: RefSeq, a predicted model, not a curated record